This 305-nucleotide ribosomal RNA is filed under the name uncultured bacterium. RNAcentral's name for it is "bacterial SSU rRNA". It matches the Rfam family "Bacterial small subunit ribosomal RNA", at positions 337 to 659 of the family's 1533-position model. The record is from RNAcentral.
CCCUACGGGGGGCAGCAGUGGGGGAUAUUGGACAAUGGGGGAAACCCUGAUCCAGCGACGCCGGGUGAGUGAAGAAGUAUUUCGGUAUGUAAAGCUCUGUCUUCAGGGACGAUAAUGACGGUACCUGAGGAGGAAGCCACGGCUAACUACGUGCCAGCAGCCGCGGUAAUACGUAGGUGGUGAGCGUUGUCCGGAUUUACUGGGCGUAAAGGGAGCGUAGGCGGACUUUUAAGUGAGAUGUGAAAUACUCGGGCUCAACUUGAGUGCUGCAUUUCAAACUGGAAGUCUAGAGUGCAGGAGAGGAG